UCCUUCAGGUUCCUUACCACUGAGAUCGAAAUAUUGGUCUGAGUGAUUCAAAAAAUGAGGAGAAGUAAAACUGAAUUGCACUUGGGGUCUUCCGUGACAUUCAAGUUCAUUUCAAGCAUGU
Molecule: small nucleolar RNA, 121 nt
Filed under: Echinops telfairi (small Madagascar hedgehog)
Lineage: Eukaryota; Metazoa; Chordata; Mammalia; Afrosoricida; Tenrecidae
Description: Small nucleolar RNA SNORA61 (ENSETEG00000026253.1)
Source: RNAcentral